Molecule: transfer RNA, 85 nt
Filed under: Candidatus Altimarinota bacterium
Lineage: Bacteria; Candidatus Altimarinota
Description: tRNA-Leu
Rfam family: tRNA
About the family: Transfer RNA (tRNA) molecules are approximately 80 nucleotides in length. Their secondary structure includes four short double-helical elements and three loops (D, anti-codon, and T loops).
Source: RNAcentral
GCCGAGGUGGUGAAAUUGGUAUACACGCAGCCUUGAGGUGGCUGUGUCGCAAGAUGUGUGGGUUCGAGUCCCAUCCCCGGCACCA